RNAcentral lists this ribosomal RNA (155 nucleotides) under Leishmania sp. MHOM/CY/2006/CH34. Its description in RNAcentral is "5.8S ribosomal RNA". It matches the Rfam family "5.8S ribosomal RNA". Rfam says of the family: 5.8S ribosomal RNA (5.8S rRNA) is a component of the large subunit of the eukaryotic ribosome. Lineage: Eukaryota; Euglenozoa; Kinetoplastea; Trypanosomatida; Trypanosomatidae. The record is from RNAcentral.
AACGUGUCGCGAUGGAUGACUUGGCUUCCUAUUUCGUUGAAGAACGCAGUAAAGUGCGAUAAGUGGUAUCAUUCAAUUCGAAUCUUUGAACGCAAACGGCGCAUGGGAGAAGCUCUAUUGUGUCAUCCCCGUGCAUGCCAUAUUCUCAGUGUCGA